AUGUUUUAAAGGGACCGUGACCAUAUAUAAUUUUAUUAGAUACUGUGAGCCAGCCAUCUUUUAUUGAUUAAAUUGUUAUUUUGUAGCACUUUUGAUUAAUUUUAAAGGCUAAUAUAGACACCUUUGGGCAGCAAUUUUUUAUUACAUUCAAGUAAUUUUGGGCUAAAAAUCUUUUUUCAAUUGGUCUUUA
Long non-coding RNA from Bufo bufo (common toad), 190 nucleotides. RefSeq lists it as uncharacterized. Lineage: Eukaryota; Metazoa; Chordata; Amphibia; Anura; Bufonidae. The record is from RefSeq and is a predicted model, not a curated record. The transcript has 2 exons.